CGGCGUGCCUAAUACAUGCAAGUCGAACGGUCUUUCUAUGGAAGCUUGCUUCCACUGAGAAGAUAGUGGCGAACGGGUGAGUAACACGUGGGUAACCUGCCCAUAAGAGGGGGAUAACAUCCGGAAACGGGUGCUAAUACCGCAUAGUUUUCUUGAUCGCAUGAUCGGGAAAGGAAAGACGGCCUUUGUGCUGUCGCUUAUGGAUGGACCCGCGGCGUAUUAGUUAGUUGGUGAGGUAACGGCUCACCAAGACGAUGAUACGUAGCCGACCUGAGAGGGUGAUCGGCCACAUUGGGACUGAGACACGGCCCAAACUCCUACGGGAGGCAGCAGUAGGGAAUCUUCCGCAAUGGACGAAAGUCUGACGGAGCAACGCCGCGUGAGUGAAGAAGGUUUUCGGGAAUCGUAAAACUCUGUUGUCAGAGAAGAACAAGUUGGAGAGUAACUGCUCCAGCCUUGACGGUAUCUGACCAGAAAGCCACGGCUAACUACGUGCCAGCAGCUGC
This 506-nucleotide ribosomal RNA is filed under the name uncultured bacterium. Its description in RNAcentral is "bacterial SSU rRNA". It matches the Rfam family "Bacterial small subunit ribosomal RNA", at positions 40 to 518 of the family's 1533-position model. The record is from RNAcentral.